Triticum aestivum (bread wheat) is the source of this 293-nucleotide long non-coding RNA. RefSeq lists it as uncharacterized. The transcript is spliced from 3 exons. The record is from RefSeq and is a predicted model, not a curated record. NCBI's taxonomy places the organism in Eukaryota, Viridiplantae, Streptophyta, Magnoliopsida, Poales, Poaceae.
GGCAUAUCGAAAGGAACAUGGGACAUUUGGAAGAGAAAUUGCCAAAAGGCAGCGGAGAAACAAAAGCUUUGAUCCAGCUCAAUGGUGGUCCAGUCAUGGGUCAGAUUCACCAAAUCUCAGAGUAUUGGCGAUGCGGAUUUUGAGUUUGACAUGCAGCUCCUCCGCUUGUGAGAGGAAUUUUAGUGUUUUUCAGCAGAUUCACACAAAGAAACGCAACAGGCUGCUUCAUAAUAAAAUGAGAGACCUUGUUUUUAUCAAGUUCAACUCCAAACUCAAACAAAAGAGAAAGAUGA